Molecule: unclassified non-coding RNA, 375 nt
Filed under: soil metagenome
Description: partial contains 5.8S ribosomal RNA, internal transcribed spacer 2, and large subunit ribosomal RNA
Rfam family: 5.8S ribosomal RNA (bases 1-120)
Source: RNAcentral
GAUGAAGAACGUAGCGAAAUGCGAUAAGUAAUGUGAAUUGCAGAAUUCAGUGAAUCAUCGAAUCUUUGAACGCACAUUGCGUCCGCCAGUAUUCUGGCGGGCAUGCCUGUUCGAGCGUCAUUUCAACCCUCAAGACCCCUUCGGGGGACUUGGUGUUGGGGACCGGCACAGGGGCCUGCCUGCUUGUCUUGCAGCGCCCUCGCCGCCCCCGAAAUGAAUUGGCGGCCUCGUCGCGGCCUCCCCUGCGUAGUAGCACAAACCUCGCAACGUGAACGUGACGGCGGCCACUGCCGUAAAACAACCCAAUUUUAUUAGAGUUGACCUCGAAUCAGGUAGGAAUACCCGCUGAACUUAAGCAUAUCAAUAAGCGGAGGA